UUGCGAUUAAAAAGCUCGUAGUUGGAUCUCGGCAAGUAGAGGGCGGUAUGCUUCGUAGCAUUACUGCCCUAUUACUUGUAGUUUUGCCAGAGGUUCCUGGGUGCUCUUAAUCGAGUGUCUAGGGAUGCUGGCAGGUUUACUUUGAAAAAAUUAGAGUGCUCAAAGCAGGCUAUUACGCUUGAAUAUUCGUGCAUGGAAUAAUAGAAUAGGAAGUUGUUUCUAUUUUGUUGGUUUUCGGAAAUCGACUUAAUGAUUAAUAGGGACAGUCGGGGGCAUUUGUAUUCAAACGACAGAGGUGAAGUUCUUGGACCGUUUGAAGACAAACCACUGCGAAAGCAUUUGCCAAGAAUGUUUUCAUUAAUCAAGAACGAAAGUUAGAGGUUCGAAGGCGAUUAGAUACCGCCCUAGUUCUAACCAUAAACGAUGCCAGCUAGCGAUCUGUCGACGUUUUUUUUGUAGACUCGACAGGAAGCUUCCGGGAAACCAAAGCAUUUGGGUUCCAGGGGAAGUAUGGUUGCAAAGCUGAAACUUAAAGGAAUUGACGGAAGGGCACCACCAGGAGUGGAGCCUGUGGCUUAAUUUUGACUCACCACCGGGAAAUCUCAC
RNAcentral lists this ribosomal RNA (606 nucleotides) under uncultured marine eukaryote. Its description in RNAcentral is "SSU rRNA". It matches the Rfam family "Eukaryotic small subunit ribosomal RNA", at positions 613 to 1218 of the family's 1831-position model. The record is from RNAcentral.